RNAcentral lists this ribosomal RNA (206 nucleotides) under uncultured bacterium. RNAcentral describes it as "partial 16S ribosomal RNA". It matches the Rfam family "Bacterial small subunit ribosomal RNA", at positions 568 to 774 of the family's 1533-position model. The record is from RNAcentral.
CUCGUAGGCGGUUUUUUAAGUCUGGAGUGAAAAUGCGGGGCUCAACCCCGUAUGGCUCUGGAUACUGGAAGACUUGAGUGCAGGAGAGGAAAGGGGAAUUCCCAGUGUAGCGGUGAAAUGCGUAGAUAUUGGGAGGAACACCAGUGGCGAAGGCGCCUUUCUGGACUGUGUCUGACGCUGAGAUGCGAAAGCCAGGGUAGCGAACG